Sceloporus undulatus (fence lizard) is the source of this 209-nucleotide long non-coding RNA. RefSeq lists it as uncharacterized. Lineage: Eukaryota; Metazoa; Chordata; Lepidosauria; Squamata; Phrynosomatidae. The record is from RefSeq and is a predicted model, not a curated record. The transcript is spliced from 3 exons.
AAGGAAGAGAAAAGUGAGAGAUUAAGAAAGUUCAGGUUCCCUUGGCAAAAGACAGACAUGCAAUCGAAUUCGAGAAGAUGCUGCUCACCUCUCUCUAAACUGACUAGACAGGUGAAGCAUACUCCCUAGCUGCUGUCAUAGGAGUUUAUCACACCGGGGCUGAUUUCAGCGUUAAAGAGAGAUAAAGUGCAUUUAAAGCAUCCCGCAAA